GAGUUUGAUCCUGGCUCAGGACGAACGCUGGCGGCGUGCUUAACACAUGCAAGUCGCACGGGGCAGCAAUGCCCAGUGGCGAACGGGUGCGUAACACGUGAGGAACUUGUCCAUCGGCGGGGGAUAGCCGGCCCAACGGCCGGGUAAUACCGCGUACGUCGACCGGGGCACCUGCCCUGGCCGGGAAAGCAGCAAUGCACCGAUGGAGAGCCUCGCGGCCUAUCAGCUUGUUGGCGGGGUAACGGCCCACCAAGGCGACGACGGGUAGCUGGUCUGAGAGGAUGAUCAGCCACAUUGGGACUGAGACACGGCCCAGACUCCUACGGGAGGCAGCAGUGGGGAAUAUUGCGCAAUGGGCGAAAGCCUGACGCAGCGACGCCGCGUGC
Molecule: ribosomal RNA, 386 nt
Filed under: uncultured Gemmatimonadota bacterium
Lineage: Bacteria; Pseudomonadati; Gemmatimonadota
Description: bacterial SSU rRNA
Rfam family: Bacterial small subunit ribosomal RNA
Source: RNAcentral